Molecule: long non-coding RNA, 368 nt
Filed under: Elaeis guineensis (African oil palm)
Lineage: Eukaryota; Viridiplantae; Streptophyta; Magnoliopsida; Arecales; Arecaceae
Description: long non-coding RNA (EGUI_LNC082272)
Source: RNAcentral
ACCAACUCCUCAAGUGCACAUUCAAGUCUCCAUCCACCUUGAGGAAAUCCAAAAAGGGUCUUCUUCUCUUGAGUAAAGUGUAUUUAAAGUUAUAUUCGCUCAUUAAAGGAGCUUUCUUUGUACUUAUUUGUGCUAUAAAUUGUUAUACUCAGUUUGAGUGAUUGAUUUUAUUUUGGAGGGGUUCCAAAAUAAGAGAAGGUUGAUCCGAACCUAGAAUCGGAGUGUAUUGGGUUGGCUUGUAUCCGAAAAAUAAGUGGUCUAGCUUGGGAUAGCUAGAGUCGGAGUUUUCGACGUUUGUAUUCGGGUUGAAUACAAGAUUAGUGGAUUGAAAUUUUCAAGUAGGAGCUUGGGGAGUGGACGUAGGUGCA